UACGUAGGUGGCAAGCGUUGUCCGGAUUUACUGGGCGUAAAGGGCGUGCAGGCGGUCUACUAAGUCUAGGGUGAAAGCUCCCGGCUCAACUGGGAGAGGUCCUUGGAUACUGGUGGACUUGAGGGAUGCAGAGGAAAGUGGAAUUCCCGGUGUAGUGGUGAUAUGCGUAGAUAUCGGGAGGAACACCAGUGGCGAAGGCGGCUUUCUGGGCAUUACCUGACGCUGAGACGCGAAAGCGUGGGGAGCGAACCGG
Molecule: unclassified non-coding RNA, 253 nt
Filed under: uncultured Dehalococcoidia bacterium
Lineage: Bacteria; Bacillati; Chloroflexota; Dehalococcoidia
Description: contains 16S-23S intergenic spacer region
Rfam family: Bacterial small subunit ribosomal RNA
Source: RNAcentral